RNAcentral lists this small RNA (125 nucleotides) under Marmota monax (woodchuck). Lineage: Eukaryota; Metazoa; Chordata; Mammalia; Rodentia; Sciuridae. The record is from RNAcentral.
GCUGGGCAUAGUAGUGCAUGCCUGUAAUCCCAGCGGCUUGGGAGGCUGAGGCAGAAGGAUUUUGAGUUCAAAGCCAGUCUCAGCAAUGGUGAGGUACGGAGCAACUUAGUGAGACCCUGUCUCUA